GCGGCCGCCGGGCAGGCGCUGCCAUCGCGGCGCGGGCUCGGCGCCUCGCGAGACGGCCGCCGCCGGGAAUGUGCUGCCUCUGGGGAUACAAGAGAGAGGAGAAGAGCAGACACAGGAACCUUGAGUGCACCUAUGAGAUGGGCCAGGGUGUAUCCCCGUUCUUCCACUCUUUUCAUCCAACUGGUGGGACCAACAGUGGUUGCUGGUUAUGAAGCUGGAAAUAGCUCUGAGAAUGCUUUAGGGAAGCAUGACUGUGACUGACGAAAAAGACCCAGAAAAGAACAUUAAGGCUCACACACAGGCCUUGUCUGCACUGGGGAAUUUCUUCCCUCCUCCAAAUUCCCACCAUUGCCAAUAUGAAUGCAGCUGCACAAUUGUUAGAGAUGUUGGGAGGCAUAAUAUAUGAGUUUUCAUCUAGUCAGCCAUUUGCAGCACUGUGUCAAUUAACCCUCCUCAGAGCAGGGUUAACUGAUACAGUGCUGAAAACGGCUGCUGGAACUGAAAGCUGUCUAUACUAAGGUUCCCAUUGUUGCUAACUCUGGUGCAGCUGCAGUGGAAUCAGUCCACGUGGGAUUAUUUGGUAACAAUUCUCCAGCCUAAAAACUGCUUCAAAAUGCAACACAGCCACCUAAUGGGCCAAAACACACUUCCGCCGUACCUCAACAGCUAUGCACCCAGGCUGCUGCCACUCAUAAUGGAGUUUCUUUCAGUCCAGAAGGUAAUUUUUGCAUUUCUGUAUGAAAUACUCAGUACUUCAUCUAAGCAAACUGGUGUCCCUGUCACCCCCAUGGAAUUGCCUCUGCUCAUUAGUUCUUACUAGUUCUGGACUUGAAGAUGUGUGCUGGAAGAGCCAAUUUUCUGUUAGUGUCUUUUCAUUGAUUCAUACAUUCAAUAAUUCAAAAUUUGUCCUUUCACAUGUGGAAACUUUGUAGUUGGUUUUUGGUUUUAAUUUCUUUAUGCAGGUUCAGUUUUUAAUUUAUGGCUGGAGUUUCUGGUUCACUAGAAUUUUGCUUUUUUUGCUGUUAACAAGUAAAGCCUUAUUUAUGCAGAGCAGCACCAUGAAGAUUCAAGCUGACUUUUGAGGGAGUAAAGUUCUAUUUUGAAUGGGCAGAGUUGGCAGAAUCAGUCCCACUUGUUUCCAUGUGCUUUAGGAAGCAGUUAUGAAACAGGCUGGUGAAAUGGGUAUUUCACCCUCUGCUGAGUAAGACUAAUACCUCUAAAAAGCCCCUCUCUAUCCUUCUCCUACAUCCAUGUCCAACACUAACUAAAACAAGGAAGUGUUGUUUGGCAUUUUUUACACUUUUGAACCACUAUUUAUCAGACAGAUGCUGGCAGUCAGGUUUUUUUAAGUGCGAUUUACAAGUGUGAAAAUGUUGAAGCCUAGGCUCGGCAAAAAUCUCAGUGAAAAACUCUAACUCACUAAAGCCCCUGGUUAAUGACAAGCAGGUUUCAGUUCAUGCAUGGCAUUUUAUGCAAAUACAGAACACAGCUAUUUGCAGAAUUUUGGGCGACUUCAUAUGCCUAUGACUAUCUACAGAGGCUCAACAUACCCGCCCAGGGAAAUGGCAACAGGGCAGACCCAGAGGAGAUGCAAUCCACAGCUUCCCAGCUAUAGCAGUGAGCACUAGAGCUUAGCUCAGGGUGUUGGGAUGUGGAGCAAAACUGAUUUGGCAGAAACUUGGAUACAGCUGAGUAUUUUGAGAAAGGGGAAAGGAAGUGGCUCACUCUUCCUUCAUUCCUGAUACUGCUGUGGUGGCUGUUUCUCUCUCCCAGAGAUCCCUUUGGACAAAGGGAGUGGGCACAGUAACUGAGUUGCCUGCAAAGCAGGUGUGACAGCUGUCUGUGGAAGGAAGGAGUAGCUCCAUACUGACUACCCUUUUAGCUCAGAUUGAGCUGUGGGGAUGCAUGAUUACAAUUGUCAUACAACUUGGUAAACAUGUUUAUAUGUUUGCUUAAACAGAUUUCAUUAAUUUCCUGAAGGAUUCUUAUAAAAAUGCUAGAACUCCCAUACCAAAUCCCAGUGGAACUGGAUUUCUCCUCUCCCUUACCCCUUUCCCUUUUCCCUUCAAUAUUAGGCUCAGUAUCUGCAUAUGGUUUUAUAUGAAACUCAGUGAUUAAAACUACUUAAGACUUGCUCA
This is a long non-coding RNA of Corvus hawaiiensis (hawaiian crow), 2138 nucleotides long. RefSeq lists it as uncharacterized. The record is from RefSeq and is a predicted model, not a curated record. Lineage: Eukaryota; Metazoa; Chordata; Aves; Passeriformes; Corvidae. The transcript is spliced from 2 exons.